RNAcentral lists this transfer RNA (69 nucleotides) under Marmota monax (woodchuck). RNAcentral describes it as "tRNA.Val". Lineage: Eukaryota; Metazoa; Chordata; Mammalia; Rodentia; Sciuridae. The record is from RNAcentral.
GGAUUGUAGCUCAGUAGGUAGAGUGCUUGCCUUACACGCACAAGGUCCUAGGUUCAAUCCACAGCACCA